AGGCCCCGCCCCGCAGGCCCCUGCGGCCUCCCUUCCGGGAAAGGGUCCCGGACGACCCCGCCCCUGCUCCCGGCGCCCAGGCGGGGCUCGGAGCUCCUGCAGGCCUUCUCUGGGCCAGACUCAGUCUUUGAGUCGCCUUGUGCAUAAAAUGGGAUGAACUGUGAGGCCUAAGUGCGAGUAUGUGACUGGUACCUUACCCGGGCCUGGUACACAGUAGGGGCCUCAGGGUGGGAGAAGCAGGUCCUAGGUUUUCCCAGCCCCAUGAAGGGGCAGCAGGAAGAGCAGAAGGAGAGCCCAGGGUCCCUUCUGGGGCUGACCAAGGAGAUCACCAUGGGCUUGACCUUCAGGGCACCAUAGUUCCUGCUAGAAUCUAGGCAGGGUGAACCGGACGAGCUGUAUCGUCGCUGAGAGAAUCAUGCAGCGUUUGGGCAAGAAGAGAGGUUGGGAAUCCUCCUUGUGGUACAUGUCGGUGACCCUGAAGCCCAGAAAGGGAAAGGGUUUUGUUGUCAGACACGCAGCAAGGCUGCAGAGGCUGGACUCCUACUGAGGUCUUCUUGACUCCCAGCCCAGGGAGUGAGAAGAAAAAGCCUCCCAAGGGGCUGGGAUAUGAGAGAAAAGCCCCCUCCUGGGGUGAGGCACUGGGGCUUUCUGCCUUGAAGAACCCUGGAACACGGGCCUGGGACUGCAGCAGGUGCAGGGGAGGCUCCUGAUUGUCCCUUCUUUCUGUCCACAUCAUGAUUCCCAGGCCUCUGCUUCACUCCCUCAUUGCUGAUUUCUUCUUCUCUUCCCAAUACAGUUGUAAGAUGCAUAAGGCAUUUAUUGAACUCUUGACCUCAGAUGAUCUGCCUGCCUCGGCCUCCCAGAGUGCUGGGAUUACAGGCCGGGUGAGCCACCGCACCCGGCCGCUUAAGGCAUUUAUUAAAGAACAUUUGGAGUUUCUUUUUUCUUUAUUGUGUAAAAUAUACAUAACAAAAUUUUACCAUUUUAACCAUUUUUAAGGAUACAAUUCAGUGGCAAAAGUACAUUCACAUCGUCGUGCAGCCAUCACCACCAUCCAUGCAACAGGACUUUUUCAUCUUCCCUAAAAGAAUGGAAUUUCUUAUUUUUAACUGUAAAGCUGAAUUGAAUAUUUUACAUGAUUUUUGGAAAAAAUUCUUCCCAAAUUAACUGCGAGGUUAACUGCUUGUGGCCUGUAUUUUUUUUUUUUUUUAAAGAAAGGGUCUUAUUCUGUUGUUCAGGCUGGAGUGCAGCAUUGCAGUCUCUACCUCCCUGGGAUCAUGUGAUCCUCCCAUCUCAGCCUCUCAAGUACCUGCUACUACAGGUGCACGCCACCAUACCCAGCCUGUACUUCGUUUCUGAGGAUCAAGACCUCACAGACCGUGUGUGUGUGUGUGUAUUUGUGUGUGUGUGAGUCCUAUUUGGGCCCCGCCUUUCAGCCCUGUCUUGCAGCCCAAACUCCAGCCACAGCUGUGGCCCCGUGCAGCUCAGAGGAAUCAGGUUGGCUCAGGGGCUUUUCCUGCUUUAAGGCAGAGGGUGAGAAGGCUGUAGCUGGGCCCGGCUAACAUCUCACCUGCUCCUGGGUCAAGAGGUGAUAUAGUUGGAGGUCAGACCAGGUUGAGCCAUUUCCUGGGCCAGGAGUAUCUUAUAGCAUGGCACAGAACACCAGGAGGCCUCACCUUCUUCCUGCUCAGAAAAGCCCACUCCUUGUCUCUGGCCCUGUGCCAGGCACUCAUCUGUCCUUUAUUUCAUGCCUGGCCCUCUAGGCAAUGUUGGAGUCCAAGAGGGUAGGGGAUGGAAGUGGCUGAGUCAGGAUUUGAACCCAGGGCAUGGUGUUUCUCAACAGGGUUGGCACCGGGAUUCUUGUUGAGAUGAUUUGUCACUGGGUAGGACUGUCCUAUGCAUUUUAGGUGUUUGCUAUCCCUGGCCCUGUCCCCUGAAUGCCCAGGUGUCCUGCAAUCAUUGUGCUAACCAGAAGCAUCCCAUGUAUUCCUAGUGGUCUCCUAGGGACCAGGAGGAAAGAGACCUGGUAAGUCCCCUUCACAUUCAUCUAUAAAAAGGGAUCGUCAUCCUUGUGGUUAGUUUAGCUGUCAUGGGACACAGCAGGACUCAGUAAAUGUACUUCUCUCUCUUCCAGAAAGGGGUACUUUGAGGCUGUACUGCCUUUCUUGGCAGGAGGCCUGAGGCCCCCCAGUCCUUGAGUCUCAGCUGUGAAGCAGGGUGCUCCCCAGUGUCUCGGCUGGGACCUUGAACAAAUCAUUGAACCCUCUACCGCCUCUGUGCUCUCCCCGGGCACUUUGAGGACUCAGCCGACUCUACAUUUUUAAGCUUGCAGUUGAAACGUUUGCAGCCAUCGGGAUACAAGUUGUUAUAGGGACCAGCUGUGAUGACAGAAGUGGGAACACUUUGCAGGACUGUGGCUGUUGCUCAGCAGCCUUGGAGUCAGGAGGAGAGAUGAAAAUCAGAAUUGAGGGUGCUUCUGGGUGAGGGACACACCCUAUACUCUUCGCAUACUCUGCACUGGAUCCUCACGGAACCACAAUCUGAGUGAAAGUGACACCACAUGACUUCUGAGACUUGGCCCUAAAAGGUGACACAGCUUCCAACUGGCUGACCUGGGACAGUCACUUUUGGAAUCCAGCCACCAUGUGGGAGGCAGCCUGGGUCACGUGGAGAGGCCACAAAUAAGUAUUUGCCAUCUGAGGUCCCUGCUAUAGCCAUAAGCAACCAUGUGAGAGUCGGAGUGAGAAGCACCCACACUGAGCCCAUUAACCACAGACUGCACAAGAGAAAUCAAAAUGAUUUUCUUUCUUUUUUUUUAAAGAGAGGAAUUUCUCUAUGUUGCUCAGGCUGAUCUUUAACUUCUGGG
Molecule: long non-coding RNA, 2866 nt
Filed under: Homo sapiens (human)
Lineage: Eukaryota; Metazoa; Chordata; Mammalia; Primates; Hominidae
Description: HSALNT0331336
Source: RNAcentral